UCUCCCUACUUCGCCUUUUCAUG
RNAcentral lists this microRNA (23 nucleotides) under Mesocestoides corti. Its description in RNAcentral is "mco-miR-71-5p". Its record names the gene mco-miR-71-5p. The record is from miRBase by way of RNAcentral. Lineage: Eukaryota; Metazoa; Platyhelminthes; Cestoda; Cyclophyllidea; Mesocestoididae.